ACGUGGACCUCUUGGGAAUCUUGUUAAAAUGCAGAUUCCAUGUCAGUAGGUCUGGUAUGGGGACUGAAAUGCUGCAUUUCUAAUUAGUUUCCAGGGGAUGUCAAG
RNAcentral lists this microRNA precursor (105 nucleotides) under Marmota monax (woodchuck). The record is from RNAcentral. Lineage: Eukaryota; Metazoa; Chordata; Mammalia; Rodentia; Sciuridae.